This 642-nucleotide ribosomal RNA is filed under the name Cortinarius tuolumnensis. RNAcentral's name for it is "eukaryotic LSU rRNA". The stretch from base 176 to 329 matches the Rfam family "5.8S ribosomal RNA". The record is from RNAcentral. Lineage: Eukaryota; Fungi; Basidiomycota; Agaricomycetes; Agaricales; Cortinariaceae.
AAGGAUCAUUAUUGAAAUAAACCUGAUGGGUUGUUGCUGGUUCUCUAGGGAGCAUGUGCACGCCUUGUCAUCUUUAUAUCUCCACCUGUGCACUUUUUGUAGACCCUUCCAGGUCUAUGUUGCUUCAUAAUCCCCGAUGUAUGUUAAUAGAAUGUUGUGCCUAUAUAAUAUAUACAACUUUCAGCAACGGAUCUCUUGGCUCUCGCAUCGAUGAAGAACGCAGCGAAAUGCGAUAAGUAAUGUGAAUUGCAGAAUUCAGUGAAUCAUCGAAUCUUUGAACGCACCUUGCGCUCCUUGGUAUUCCGAGGAGCAUGCCUGUUUGAGUGUCAUUAAUAUAUAUAUCAACCCUCUCUUGUGGAGUGGUUUGGAUGUGGGGGGUUUGCUGGCCUCUUAAAUGAAUUCAGCUCCCCUGAAAUGCAUUAGCAGAACAAACCUUGUUCAUUGGCAUGAUAACUAUCUAUGCUAUUGAAUGUGAGGGGCAGUUCAGCUUUCUAACCGUCCUUGGACAAUUCAUCAUUAAUGUGACCUCAAAUCAGGUAGGACUACCCGCUGAACUUAAGCAUAUCAAUAAGCGGAGGAAAAGAAACUAACAAGGAUUCCCCUAGUAACUGCGAGUGAAGCGGGAAAAGCUCAAAUUUAAAA